Arachis ipaensis is the source of this 569-nucleotide non-coding RNA. The record is from RefSeq and is a predicted model, not a curated record. NCBI's taxonomy places the organism in Eukaryota, Viridiplantae, Streptophyta, Magnoliopsida, Fabales, Fabaceae.
CAUUUUAUUUUUCUCGUAGCUUCGCCUCUUUUUUUCCUAAAUCUCAAUCUCAACUGUGUUUACCCUAACAAUUACCAGAGUUCUCUCUCUCUCUCUCUCUCUUUCUCUCUCUCUCUCUGUCUCUCUCUCUCUUCCAUCAUUGUCUUUGCUGCGGUCUCGAGAUCUCUCAACGGCGUUCUUUGUACGCCUAGCUCCUCUGCUUCCUCUUCUCUGCCAGGCCCGCUUGCCGUCUCCUCUAAGCUGUGUAUGAGCGUCCUACCAGCAUCGCCUCCAACCUCCAUCAGCUCUACCAGCGCCCAUCGCAAGGUUUUCAUGUUUUUACAAGAGGAGAAGCACCCUCUUACGCAUUCCACACGAUGCUUCUAUCCCAGAUCUGCUCGCUACUUAUGUACCACUUGGUUAAGAUUAUGCCUUUAUUUAAAUUGGAUCAGAUUUCUUUCUCUAUUAUUUGGUUCCAAAUCCAUCCCUUUUUCUUUUUGAUUUAGUUUCAAUUUACACUUUUUUUUUGUUCUUGCCAAGAACAUAGAACAAAAGACGGUGAAGCAAAAUCCAAUCCACCAACGAUGCAU